This 29-nucleotide small RNA is filed under the name Bombyx mori (domestic silkworm). Its description in RNAcentral is "ovarian small RNA-24701". Lineage: Eukaryota; Metazoa; Arthropoda; Insecta; Lepidoptera; Bombycidae. The record is from RNAcentral.
UCAAGACGCCACGCCUGCACUAUGGCCGC